This 468-nucleotide ribosomal RNA is filed under the name uncultured bacterium. RNAcentral's name for it is "partial 16S ribosomal RNA". It matches the Rfam family "Bacterial small subunit ribosomal RNA", at positions 28 to 507 of the family's 1533-position model. The record is from RNAcentral.
GACGAACGCUGGCGGCGUGCUUAACACAUGCAAGUCGAACGGAAAGGCCCUGCUUUUGUGGGGUGCUCGAGUGGCGAACGGGUGAGUAACACGUGAGUAACCUGCCCUUGACUUUGGGAUAACUUCAGGAAACUGGGGCUAAUACCGGAUAGGAGCUCCUGCUGCAUGGUGGGGGUUGGAAAGUUUCGGCGGUUGGGGAUGGACUCGCGGCUUAUCAGCUUGUUGGUGGGGUAGUGGCUUACCAAGGCUUUGACGGGUAGCCGGCCUGAGAGGGUGACCGGCCACAUUGGGACUGAGAUACGGCCCAGACUCCUACGGGAGGCAGCAGUGGGGAAUAUUGCACAGUGGGCCGAAGCCUGAUGCAGCGACGCCGCGUGCGGGAUGACGGCCUUCGGGUUGUAAACCGCUUUCGCCUGUGACGAAGCGUGAGUGACGGUAAUGGGUAAAGAAGCACCGGCUAACUACGUG